Molecule: long non-coding RNA, 2176 nt
Filed under: Marmota monax (woodchuck)
Lineage: Eukaryota; Metazoa; Chordata; Mammalia; Rodentia; Sciuridae
Source: RNAcentral
AACAAUUUGGUAAUGAAGUAUUGAUUUCCACUUCUCCGCUGAUGGACGAUAUUAGAUUUUCAUUGAUAAACUGCAUCGGGCUGUCUCGUCUCCACGGUCCCCUUUUCACGGUCACAAGGAAACAAAGUGCCACUGAAGAAAAAUAAUGACUGGGAACACUGAUGCGCUUAUUUUGUCAGUUUGUAACAGGAAAGGGAGGGGUAGUCCUCGCCGUCCAACGUCCGAGGGGGCCGCCCGAGAUGCGGACACUUGGAAGGCUGCUUUGGGUGGUGAUGUCCGUUUCCUAUUUAUAACCCCUCUGGGAACGUUUGUCUAAAGGAAAUGUUUCUGUUCAGUGUAACAAUUACGGUUGCACCUGGAUUGCCCAGGCCUGCCCCUGCGCUAGGGAGCCAUUAAUCACUGCAAAGGAGAAGAAUUAUUAAGUUAAGGCCAGAGCUGGAGCCAAGAAAGCCUCCGAACGAUGUUCGUCUUCUGUGAAAGUUGUGCAAAUAGUUAGCCUUAGCCGUGCUGCUGCCAAGGACUUUUUCCCAUGCAGCGGUAGGCAUCUUUAUCAUGGUCAUUAUCUGGACUGCUUUAAAACCUAGUUCUGAGCCCGCAGCCCUGUCACUUGAGACCUGCAGAUUGGGAGAAGGGGCGAGAUGUAGAAUCUGAGAAAAGCAAGAAGAUGAGAUCAUGGCAGGGUGGAAAGUUCAGCAGCGGCCUUUUCUGGUAAUCCCUUCUUGCAGGACUGGUUGUUUAUGGGCUCUGGAACACAGCUGAGCUUUAGGACCAACAGAAAGCGUGAAAUAGGGUGUCCAUUUUAAAUGUGUUCCUGCAACUUUUUUCAUUAAAACUUUAAGGGCCCAAUUUUAAUUUGUGGAAUAUUCCCGUUAAUAAUGAGAUCUAAUUAAGACAUCCAUUAAAAGCCCGUUAAAGUUAAUUUAACGUAAAAAUUCCAAUAGAACUGUAUUAGAUUUUCUCCAUUAAAUUAACGUUAUGGAUUUUUAACGGAUGUCUUAAUUAUACGUUAUUAUUAACGGGAAUACUGUAUUACACAGAUUAAAAUCAGGUCCUAAGUCAACUUGGAAAGCUAGGAGCAUGUUUUAAUAUUAAAAGUCUUGCAUACCUAGCGUGCAGUUUGGAAGGGGUAGAUCUGUUUAUUCUAUACAAUGGAAAGCAACCUAUAAUAGAUGUAUCCAUCAAUGCAUUUAAACAAUGAAUUUUCUUAUUCUCAAAGGACAAAUAAAUAUGGAUCAUGUUGUAAACUGCUACUCAGCUAUAGGUGAAAUAUUAAGCUACUCUAGGCAUAACACAAGAAACUAGAUGAUUCUGAAACAAAUGAAAUAUUAUGUGUUGUUGUUUUAAUUACCAAGUUUAUCAACAACAGCAGCAACUCAACACUGACAAAAUGAAGCCAGAUAUAGCCUCUUCACCAUUUCUCAUAGAAGCUGCCUAUUGGAAUUGUUUUGGAAAUUUUGCCAUGAUCCCUAAAUUCAACAUGGGAUUAAAAAAAGGGGGGGAAAAAAACUUCUUAUUUACCUCCUAGGGAAAGUGUUGCCCUUAUGCCACAUAUAAUAGCAAAUUGCUUUUUUUAUGGCAUGCAUAACCUAGAUGGGAAAAAUAUGGCGCUUCAGGGAAGGAGGGAAAAAGUAAAUGAAGUUCCAGGAAUGUCAUUCUGAAGUAAUGAGGCAUGGACAGAAAAUAUACCCCUCACAUCAUCGGAUUGAGAUGGCAGUCGAAAUAGCUUCAUUGAAGUGUCAGCACUCAUCCAUCAAUCAAUCACCCACAAGGAAAAAUAGCAACAGUACAACGGGGCGGCUUUUAUGGGAUUUACUCAUGGGCAUAGGGAAUAGCGGCUCAAAUGUAGUUCUGACAUGAAAAGCAAGGUGCUGAUAUUAUUUUUUAUGAUGGGAGGAUCAUAAAGUGAAUUGAGAACAGCGAGGUCUGUCUUUGCUUAACCUAUUCAACCAGAAAUGAAUGGAACUCAACUGGAAAGGAACAGUCUUCAGAUGGGUUAAGAUUGAAGGGUGGACUCUGCCGAGCACUGUCCUUCAACAACGAGAUUCUAUUAAAGGAAAAUCAAUGCAUUAGCAUUGGUGUUCCUGAAGCUGUUAAAAAUCGCCUGCUUCAACCCAGGGUUGUUAGAUAAAGUUACAUAAUUCAGAUCCUACUGCAACCAUCCAGAAGCAAAUUCGGA